Morus notabilis is the source of this 270-nucleotide long non-coding RNA. RefSeq lists it as uncharacterized. The transcript has 3 exons. The record is from RefSeq and is a predicted model, not a curated record. Lineage: Eukaryota; Viridiplantae; Streptophyta; Magnoliopsida; Rosales; Moraceae.
UGUAACCUCAGCUGUUUAUGAGAACAGAAGGAAAGGUUUCAUCUCUGUCGCAAAAAUCAAAUGGCCGCAGAGAACAAACCUAAGUUAGCUUCCUCCUCCAAGUCCAAGAAGGGCAGGCCGCGCUAUCUCCCUCACAACAAACCGGUGAAGAAGAAGGGGGCGUACCCAUUAAGGCCAGGAGUUCAAGGCUUCUUCAUUACCUGCGAUGGCGGCAGGGAACACCAAGCCUCUCUCGAAGCCAUUAACGUUAUUGAUUCUUUUUUUGAGGAG